This 491-nucleotide ribosomal RNA is filed under the name uncultured bacterium. RNAcentral's name for it is "partial 16S ribosomal RNA". It matches the Rfam family "Bacterial small subunit ribosomal RNA", at positions 29 to 506 of the family's 1533-position model. The record is from RNAcentral.
AGUGAACGCUGGCGGUAGGCCUAACACAUGCAAGUCGAACGGCAGCACAGUAAGAGCUUGCUCUUACGGGUGGCGAGUGGCGGACGGGUGAGGAAUACAUCGGAAUCUACUUUUUCGUGGGGGAUAACGUAGGGAAACUUACGCUAAUACCGCAUACGACCUACGGGUGAAAGCAGGGGAUCUUCGGACCUUGCGCGAUUGAAUGAGCCGAUGUCGGAUUAGCUAGUUGGCGGGGUAAAGGCCCACCAAGGCGACGAUCCGUAGCUGGUCUGAGAGGAUGAUCAGCCACACUGGAACUGAGACACGGUCCAGACUCCUACGGGGGGCAGCAGUGGGGAAUAUUGGACAAUGGGCGCAAGCCUGAUCCAGCCAUACCGCGUGGGUGAAGAAGGCCUUCGGGUUGUAAAGCCCUUUUGUUGGGAAAGAAAAGCAGCAGGUUAAGACCCCGCUGUUCUGACGGUACCCAAAGAAUAAGCACCGGCUAACUUCGU